RNAcentral lists this long non-coding RNA (331 nucleotides) under Callithrix jacchus (white-tufted-ear marmoset). RNAcentral describes it as "lncRNA (ENSCJAG00000078680.1)". The record is from RNAcentral. Lineage: Eukaryota; Metazoa; Chordata; Mammalia; Primates; Cebidae.
UAUUACAUUGUCUUUAUAUAUGCAUUUGUGUGUUUCCAUCAGGUCUCAGUAAGUUCUUCCAACAUUGGAGUCUGGGAGAGGUGUUUGUUGAUAGAAGUUUGGAGAGACAGAGGAGAAUGAGGUCAGUGCAUUUAUUCUCUGCCUCUCUCCCAUAAAGGUUGGCUUGGCUUGGCUUUCCACCUCAAGAUUAUUCCAUGUACCUAUGAUGCUGUGGUUGGUGCCUUAUGAACCUACUUCCUUGGACAGUUGAAUAAAUGAAGUUUGAUGAUUGACCUAAGAGUAGCCAACUCCAGGUCAGCCUUCAGUUCUUAUGAUGACCAGGUAUGACUGC